ACUUGCAGAAAACCCGGUGGAAUCAGGUACAAGAGAUGUCGGAAAAUCACCCUAACAUCACGUUGAAAGAAUCAACACAAAAUAACUCCGAUUUCACCAAAAAUCAAAGAAAAACUUCAAAAUCUUCACCAUUAAAAAAAACAGAAAUCAGCACCAAAAACGCCAUGAACUCAGACCAAAAGAUCGGGGAAGAUAGAGAGUAUGUCCAGGAGAAAUAUCCAGGCUCUGAUACCAUGAAAACAUGGUGAAUCGAAGUUAAAUCAAAGCUGGGAAGAGGUAAAAUAGAGAGAGAAAGUAGAGAGAGAAGAGAGAGAAAUGUUCUCUGUAUUGAAAAU
Molecule: long non-coding RNA, 335 nt
Filed under: Nicotiana benthamiana
Lineage: Eukaryota; Viridiplantae; Streptophyta; Magnoliopsida; Solanales; Solanaceae
Description: long non-coding RNA (NBEN_LNC014082)
Source: RNAcentral